This 1065-nucleotide ribosomal RNA is filed under the name uncultured Paenibacillaceae bacterium. RNAcentral's name for it is "bacterial SSU rRNA". It matches the Rfam family "Bacterial small subunit ribosomal RNA", at positions 336 to 1397 of the family's 1533-position model. The record is from RNAcentral. Lineage: Bacteria; Bacillati; Bacillota; Bacilli; Caryophanales; Paenibacillaceae.
CUCCUACGGGAGGCAGCAGUAGGGAAUCUUCCACAAUGGGCGCAAGCCUGAUGGAGCAAUGCCGCGUGAGUGAGGAAGGCUUUCGGGUCGUAAAGCUCUGUUGCCAGGGAAGAAUAAGGACGUGAGUAACUGCUCGUCCGAUGACGGUACCUGAGAAGAAAGCCCCGGCUAACUACGUGCCAGCAGCCGCGGUAAUACGUAGGGGGCAAGCGUUGUCCGGAAUUAUUGGGCGUAAAGCGCGCGCAGGCGGUCUUUUAAGUCUGGUGUCUAAGUGCGGGGCUCAACCCCGUGUCGCACUGGAAACUGGGAGACUUGAGUGCAGAAGAGGAGAGCGGAAUUCCACGUGUAGCGGUGAAAUGCGUAGAGAUGUGGAGGAACACCAGUGGCGAAGGCGGCUCUCUGGACUGUAACUGACGCUGAGGCGCGAAAGCGUGGGGAGCAAACAGGAUUAGAUACCCUGGUAGUCCACGCCGUAAACGAUGAGUGCUAGGUGUUGGGGGGGUCCACCCCUCGGUGCCGAAGUUAACACAUUAAGCACUCCGCCUGGGGAGUACGGUCGCAAGACUGAAACUCAAAGGAAUUGACGGGGACCCGCACAAGCAGUGGAGUAUGUGGUUUAAUUCGAAGCAACGCGAAGAACCUUACCAGGUCUUGACAUCCCAUUGACCGUCCCGUAACGGGGGCUUCCCUUCGGGGCAAUGGAGACAGGUGGUGCAUGGUUGUCGUCAGCUCGUGUCGUGAGAUGUUGGGUUAAGUCCCGCAACGAGCGCAACCCUUGUCAUUAGUUGCCAUCAUUCAGUUGGGCACUCUAGUGAGACUGCCGGGGAUAACUCGGAGGAAGGUGGGGAUGACGUCAAAUCAUCAUGCCCCUUAUGUUCUGGGCUACACACGUGCUACAAUGGUCGGUACAACGAGAAGCAAGACCGUGAGGUGGAGCAAAUCUUAAAAAGCCAUCUCAGUUCGGAUUGCACUCUGCAACUCGAGUGCAUGAAGUUGGAAUCGCUAGUAAUCGCGAAUCAGAAUGUCGCGGUGAAUACGUUCCCGGGCCUUGUACACACCGCCCGU